Molecule: ribosomal RNA, 2064 nt
Filed under: Myxobolus sp. 1 PBS-2015
Lineage: Eukaryota; Metazoa; Cnidaria; Myxozoa; Bivalvulida; Myxobolidae
Description: SSU rRNA
Rfam family: Eukaryotic small subunit ribosomal RNA
Source: RNAcentral
ACCUGGUUGAUCCUGCCAGUGCGCAUACGCUAUUUUUAAAGACUAAGCCAUGCACGUGCUAAGUUCAUACAUUUAAAAUGUGAGACUGCGGACGGCUCAGUAAAUCAGUUAUAAUCUGCUCGAUUGUAAAGGUUAUUGGAUAACCGUGGGAAAUCUAGAGCUAAUACAUGUACUUUGCUGCCAAUUCCGGUUGGUCAGCUGCAUUUAUUAGAGUAAUACCAAUCGUGAGCAAUCGCGGGGUGAAUCUAGAUAACUGUGCAGAUCGUAUGGCCUUGAGCUGACGACAUUUCGAUUGAAUUUCUGCCCUAUCAACUCUGUUGGCAGUGUAGUGGACUGCCAAGGUUUUUACGGGUAACGGGGAAUCAGGGUUCGAUUCCGGAGAGGGAGCCUGAGAAACGGCUACCACAUCCAAGGAAGGCAGCAGGCGCGCAAAUUACCCAAUCCAGACAGUGGGAGGUAGUGACGAAAAGUACCAGGUAGCAGCCAAAAACUGCUAGUUUGGAAUGAAAACAAUUUUAGCAAUUGAUUUGAGAAACUACUGGAGGGCAAGUCUGGUGCCAGCAGCCGCGGUAAUUCCAGCUCCAGUAGCGUAUCUUAAAGUUGCUGCGCUUAAAACGCUCGUAGUUGGAUCACACACUAUGUGGUAGUGUAUUUGUAUUCAUGCAUGUAAACUGUCUUUGUCUAACGACGUGUCAUCACGUCGUCCAGAACUGAUGGUGUGUGUGGUGCAAAUAAAAAGCUAGUACGUAGUAAUUGCACGUGAGUAUGGCUGUUAACCUUUAGUGCGUUGGCAGCUGUGUCUCACGGGAUGUGCCUUGAGUAAAUCAGAGUGCUUAAAGCAGGCGUUGAGCUUGAAUGUUGAUAGCAUGGAACGAACAAUAGUGUAGGUGUAUGUUGAAUAUGGUGUUCUUACUGUCAAAAGUUUGAUCAUCUCAGCAUACGACACCGACCACCAAUUACGGAUGUUGGUUUCGUAUUGGGGUACUGAUUAAGAGGAGCGGUUGGGGGCAUUGGUAUUUGGCAGCGAGAGGUGAAAUUCUUAGACCUGCCAGGGACUAACAAAUGCGAAGGCAUCUGUCCAGACCGUAUCCAUUAAUCAAGAACGAUAGAGAGAGGUUCGAAGACGAUCAGAUACCGUCCUAGUUCUCUCUGUAAACUAUGCCGACCCGGGAUCAGCUUGUUGCAUGAUAUGAGCUCGAGGUUGGUCCCCCUGGGAAACCUAAAGUUUUUCGGUUGCGGGGGGAGUAUGGUCGCAAGGCUGAAACUUAAAGGAAUUGACGGAAGGGCACCACCAGGGGUGGAGCCUGCGGCUUAAUUUGACUCAACACGGGAAAACUUACCUGGUCCGGACAUCAAUAGGAUAAACAGACUAAUUGAUCUUUUUUGAUAUGAUGAUUGGUGGUGCAUGGCCGUUCUUAGUUCGUGGAGUGAUCUGUCAGGCCAAUCCCGGUAACGAACGAGACCACGUUCUUCAUUUGACGAGCCGGAGAAAGUGYCUGCCACGUUCAUGUCUGGCAACAGAUGUGUCCGUGGUUGAUACUGUAGGCAGUUUUAUCGAAAUAGUGUAUGUGGUGGCAACAUUGCAUGCGGUGUUCUUGGUAUUACUCCCUCCGGUCAUGUAGUGUAUGACUCGCAAGAGCCAGAGCUGCAUCAUGAAGAGWCAGGGGACAAUACUUUAAAAUCCUAGGAAGUGUGGCUAUAACAGGUCUGUGAUGCCCYUAGAUGUUCAGGGCUGCACGCGCGCUACAAUGGCGGUGGCAGCAAGUAUCUGUAUCGAAAGAUUCGGGUAAUCUUGUAAUCACCGCCGUGAUGGGGAUCGAUGCUUGUAAAUGCGUCGUGAAAGAGGAAUCCCUAGUACGUGCGAUUCAUUAGAUCGCGCGGAUUUAGUCCCUGCCCUUUGUACACACCGCCCGUCGCUACUACCGAGGGAAUGGUGUCAUAAUACCUUGGGAGCGGAUGUCGCUCUGAGUUUCGGCUUGGGGCGAUGCUGCAAUCAGCGUAGAAUGGCGCAAUUUCGAGGAAGUAAAAGUCGUAACAAGGCUUCCGUAGGUGAACCAGCGGAAG